GCCUGACGUACCCUGCCGCGGGGUGGUGCUCUGACUGCGGCAACCGUUGAAGGGCUGCCCCCCGGAAGGCAGCGAGGCGUCACCGGUCCCUCAAACAGCUUUUCAUGUUUAUUCUACACAAGAGGAAUGACUGUGUCAGUACCACUUUCUUGAGCUAUGGCAAUCAGAGCUGGAAGUGGGAACUUGUCUACAGAACACCCAAACUUGCCAAGGAUGGUGCAGAUUAUGAAAGAUAAUGGCUUUAUCCCCUCCCAGCACUGAUGAUAUUAUCAGAGGUGAGUGUGGCACCAAUUACAGUACCAGUUUUUUAUUGAUAUUAGUAAAUAGGUAAAGACCACUGAUAUCAAUGUUUUUAUUCUUUAGUUUUGUGUGUGUGUGUGUGUCAGUGUGCUGUCUUUGCUUUGAGUUUCCAAGUAAUUAUUAUCAACAAAUAAUUCUUGAGAUUUUGCUAUGUUAAAGGCGUUUUACUGGGAAUUAUGGAUACAAGAAAGUAAAAUUGUGACCAUAUUUUCUGAAUUGAACAUCACAAAAGUGAUUUGACAGAAAAUUCCCUGACCUCUGGAGUAAAUCAUAAACCGUUUUUUAUAAUAGAUCCAGGGACCUGUACAUGCAUGGACAUAAGUGUGCACACACAGAUUUUACAAUGUUAGUAAGAAUUGUGCUUGGCUUCCCAUGACCAAGUUCACAGACUACAUUUUAUGAGUGGAAAUGAAAGAAGAUACUGGUAUAAGCUCCUUGGUACUCCUGGAACUUCCAGGAGUUCCUCAUCCCCCUUCUUAAAUUUUUUCAUAUGUAUAUGUAUAUAUACACAACUCUAUAAAAAGGUAUGUAUGUGAUAAUAUAUAUAUUCUAGUGGCUAUCUUAGUAUAGCAUUUUUCUUUUUUUUCCCUUUUUCUCCCCACCCUUUUUCCUUUUUUAAUUUGGCUCUCCUGCCUUUAUCUAGUGCUUCACAAAGAAGCACUAGAUAAAGUGAUUGUAACCCACAUUAGUUACUUGAAAGUUUUGAACAUGUGUUUGCAUAUUAGGAUCCUGGAAUAUCAAUGAAAAUAUGAAAAAAUUUUAACAAAUAUUUUUGGUUACACUUUUAUCAGUUUUAUAAACUAAUAUGAUUGUUUUGUGUUUGGCUUUAUUUUUUUCCUAAUUUUGUUAUUACUGAUAAUUACAAAUUGGUGAAAUAGUUAUCAGGAUAUUAAUAUUUAUUAAAUUUCAAUUAGAAUAAGAUUGAUCAUAUUGUAGCAUUUGAGUUGAGGAUAUAGCUCAGUGGGAGAGGGUUGUGUUGCUGUAGACUAUUAGAAAAUAUAUUGUAGCUAAGUGGUAGAAAGUGUACUUAGUAUGUGAAUCACUGGAUUCAAUAUCUAGUACCACAAAAAAAAUUUUAAGUAGUAAGAGAACAUUUUCCUUUUUUCUCUAAAAUUUACCAUUUUGAAUUAAUGAGAAAAGAAAAAAUUCAAAAAUGAACAGAUUAUAUGUGUUGAAGUGAAUAUUCUUUUAAAAUUUAUACUGGGGAGUAUAUAUAUUUUUUAUUUUACAAUAAAAAUUUUUCUAGUUUGGUGGUUGAUGAUUAACAUUAAUUGAAUUUUGAUUUCUCUUAGAGAAUACUUUAACAAAAGUGUUUCCAACCUAUGGCUUGCAGGCUGUAUACCUCCAUGCACAGCUAGUAAUAUACCCCGUUGAGAUUAUAAAUUUUUAACAUUACUUUAUGAUUUUUGGCAACAUUUUUCCCGACAAGAUUGCUCAGUGCUGCAUAGUCAGCAAUAGAAUGCUGUGAGGAGGAGGGCCACAGUGCAAUGCCAACUUUGCCUCCUGUGCUUGCUACACAGUCCAGUCAAAUCAAAAUCUGCAGAUAUCAGAUGUUAUGUGCACUUCUGCAACUUGGCAAGUAAAAUGCUAUAAUCAAAAGUAGAAUUUCAAAUUACCAUCACAUGUAUGUUUCUGUGUAGACAGGUGUUGUUGUUAUUGAACAGAUAUGUAUUCUUAUUAAACUUGGGCUUGUGUUAUUUUAUAAAAUAAUAAGUUAAAAUAUUUUUUAAAGGAAAUUGUUAUUUGUUAUUUAUAAACAUUUACUGUGUUAUAUACAGUGGUGCCUUGGUUCACAGAUGCUUUGGUUUGCAAACAAUUUUGCUUGUAAACCAAAGUAUUUGGCAAAAUUUUAUAUUUUUCACAAACCUGCCUCAGUGACAGACACGGCCAUGGCAUUUUCCCUACACGAACACAAAUGUGGCCAUCUUUUCCAAAGUUGUAGAACAAAUUUUUAUGAACCAAGGCAUCACUAUAUUUUAUUUUGGGGCCUAGACAAUUCCUCUUUACUCAUUGUGGCCCAGGCAAGCAAAAGAUUGGAUACCCAUGCUUUAAAAUAAUAUUUUUGUUUGUCAUUGCUUGGAAAUAAAUUUUAUUCUGUAGUUUUUAUUGUAGGCCAACUAUUAUUCUAUCUAGCACAUCAAGAUGAAGUUUUAUAACAUUCUAUUUAAUAAAAAUGAAUGUUGGUACAAUUUACUCUAACUUUAGGCAUAAUUAGAUUACAUAUUUAAUUUAACCAUCAAAUCUACAUAAAAACUAGAAAUUUAAUAUUAAUUUUACUUCAAUAUCUUUCUCUAAGAAAACUUAGAUUACACCACUGAGAUGGAGAAAUUAUUCAUCCUAUUAGUAUUAAAAGAUUCUUUUAAGUAGAGUUUAUAAGCAGAUAAGAUUUACUCUUUUAUAAUUGUUUUGUCAAUUAUGAACCUGCUAUUAGAGAAGUGCUAUGGUCUGAAUUUCACCCAAAAGUGUUGAAACUUACUGGCCAAUGUGAUAAUAUUAAGAAAUGGGGCCUUUAGCAGCUGAUUAAGUCAUGAGACCAGAGCCUUCAUGGAUGGGGUCAGGGCCUUACAGAAGAGCUUGAAAGUGUGGGUUCCUUGUCUUCUGCUCUGCCUUGUGAGGAGGAUGCAGCACAAGGCAUAAUCUUAGAAGCAGAGAACAGCCUUUAUCAGAUUAGUCCUGCCAGCACCUACAUUUUGGAUGCUCCAGCCUUAGAACUAUGAAAAAUAAAUUUCUAUUAUUUAUAAAUCACAUAUUCUGCAUUAUUUUGUUAUAGCAGCACAGACAGAUUAUGACAGGAAGCAAGUAGUGUCUUUGGCCACAUUUUAUUUAGAUGAGUGCUGGGAGUAGAAACUACUAUUUACAAAAAUAUUUAGUUGGGUUUAAUAAAAGUAAAAUAAAGCAAAAAUGAUUCAAACAUUUAUUUUCUAUGCUUAAUAUUUUAACAUACUCAUGGAAGUAUGACCUCUCCCUAUAAUUUCAAAGAAACUAACACUUAAAAAUUUUAUAAGCACCUAUUUUGAAUAAAUCACUGAAAUGAUUAAUUGAAGAUACAGUUCAUAUUCUAAAUAUCUUAAAAAUGAUCAUUACUACAAAUUAAUUUUUCAGAUUUACCAUUACUUUAUUUUGGGGAGAGUUGCACAGUGUUUUUAAAUCAUAUUAAAAAUACAGAACAUAGACUUUUCAGAGUAUGAUAUAGAAAUAUAGUAGUAAGGCCAAAUUCUCAAAGAUUUUUAUUUCUUCAUCUUUUUUUUUUUUCUUAUUUUUGCAGUGUUGGAGAUUGAACCCUGGAACUCACACAGUCUAGGAAAGCACUUGGCAUUUAGCUAUAUGCUCAAUAGUCUCAAAAUUUUUUAAAAGAACAUUUAUCUAAAGGACAAUAAGAGGUUCUUGAGAAUUAGUUAUGUCUGUGAUAUAAGAUAAAUUUAUAGAUAGGAAACAAAUUUAAAAGAAACUCAUCUAUGUUACAUGGCUCUAUAACUGUAACACAAUUAAAAUGUUUAAAGUACAUUAAAAUAGUUUCCUACUUUAGACACAUUGAAAGUUUUGUUAGGAUAACUUAAGUGAUUUAUACUUAAUGAGAUAAUAUUCACAGCUUGUACAUUUCAAACUUGAGAACAAUUUGAAGCUGGUACUAUUUUCAUUAUUUGACAUUGUUACAUAUUUUUGCAGUACUGAGAACCAGGAGUAUGCUACAUGUGAGCUACAUCCCCAGCCCUUUUUAAAUUUCAUUUUGAGAUAUGUCUCUCUAGGUUGCUGAGGCUGGCCUCGCAUUUGUAAUCCUCUUGCCUCCCAAGUAGCUGGGCUUACAGGUGUGAAUCAUGGGGCCCAGCUGACAUGUUUAAUUUAUGUUUGCUUUUUCAUACUAGUAAAGAGUUUACAUUGUAAUGGCAUAUAAGUAAAAAUCCUAGGGCCAUAGACACCCAUAGUUCAGAUGAGUAACUGAGAUCAAUAUAGUCAGGUGUGUUUUAGAGAUGGGGACAGGUCUAAGAAAUAUAUUGUUAGGCAAUUUUGUCAUUGUACAACAUCAAAGUGUACUUCUAAGUAAUUAAUAGUCUUAGACCAGACUAUUAGGAAACAUUGUUAUGUGAUACAUGACUCUGUAUAAAUAAAAAGAUAACAUUUAAAACAAUACAUUAUAAACUGGGUAUAGUGGCACACUCUACAAUUCCAACACUCUGGGAAGCAGUUCUUACCCAGCCUGGGCAACUUGGUGACUUUACCAACACUGUGUCUCAAAAAUUAAAAAUGCUUAUUCUGGUCAUAGGUUAUAUGCAUUGUAAAUAUGGUCUGUUUAAGGACUACUUUUCAUUUUAAUGAUGUCAUUUAAAGUUCUAAAUUUUGAUGGAAUCUCAUUUAUCAAUUUUUUUCUUUUAUACAUCAUGUUUUUUUGUAUCCUAGGUAGUUCUUGCCUACCCUGAAUUCAUAAAUAUUUUCCCUUAUAAUUUCUUCUUAAAGUUUUAUACUUUUAGGCUUUCUUAUUUAAGUUCAUAGAUCCCUUCAAGUAAUUUUCAUGUAUGGAAAAAAAAGGGUUGAGGUUAAUUUUUUAUAUACAGAUACCAGGUGUUCUAGUGCCGUUUUCUGAAGACACUAUCUUUUCCUUGGCUCUUGAAUCAAGUUUAUAUUCUAUAAAAUGCUAAUGUUAAAUAAUCUUUCAAAACUCAGUGGACCAUAUAUGUGUGGUUCUAUUUCUAGAUUCUCUGUUUUAUUCAAAUGAUCUGUAUGUCUUUCCUUACACCAACACUGCCUUGAUUACUGUAGCUUUAGAAGUCUUAAAAUUAGGUACUAAAUGUCUUCCAACACUGUUUUUUUUUUUUAACUUUUCUAGGUCUUUUGUACUCCUACAUAACUUUUAAAUUUCAAUGUCCAAUUCUUCAUUUAUAGCAAGUAUACACAGACCUGAAUUUUUAUAUAUACCUUGUGUUUUCUAAUCUUGCUAAAUUCAAAUACAAGUUCUAGGGGCUCUUAGAGAUUUUUUAGUAUUUUCUCUGUAGAUGAUCAUUUCAUCUACAUAUAAAGAUUUUGCUUCUACCUUGCCAAUCCUAUCCUAAUUGUGUCAUUUUAUUUCCAGACUAUUUUGGUUGGGCCUAGGUUUCAAAGUUUAAUGGACAGAUAAAGAGUAAGCAUAUCUGCCCUUGUUCCCCACCUUAAGGAGAAAGCAUUGUAUCUUCUGCAUUCAUAUAAGGCGUUCUCACUGGAAGUAUGGAGUACAUGUCUUUAAUCUGUUGAGAAGGUUCUGUUCUACUUCUAGUCUCCUGAUAGCUUUGACCAUGAACAGCUAUAGAAUUUAGUCCAAUACUUUUUCUCCAACUAGUGACAGGAUCAUAUGGCUUUUUCCUUUCCUCUGUUUAAAUGAUGACUUUUGGGGGUGGAUCUUCCAAUGCUGAACCAACACUGCCAUCCCUAUAACAAAACCACUUUCUACAUCCUGCCAGAUCUGACUUCUAAGGCUUUGUUUCAUUAAACAAAUUUCUAUCUAUGUUCAUACUUUUUUCUUCUAUUAUCUUUAUCCAGUUUUAGGAUUAGCACAAUGUUGAUUUCCUAAAAUGAGGGGAGAAAUGUCCCUUCUUUUUUUCUGCUUUAAUUGUUUGAUAUAAUUUAUCAGUUAAAAUGUAUAUGAGCCUGCUGUUGUCAUAUAGGUAGGUUUUCAAGCUAGGAAUAUACUUUCUUUAAUAGGUGCUAUUCAAAUUUUAUAUUUCCUCUAGAGUUAGUUUCAUUAAUUUGUCUUCCAAGGUACUUCUGAGAAGUUGUCAAAUUUAUUUCAAAACAGAUUUUUGUAAUAUGCUUUUUAUAUCAUUUUAAAUUCUAUAAAAUCUGUGGUAAUGUCUCCUAGAUCUUGAUAUUGUAAUUUUAAAAAUGUAUAAUUGAUAUUGUGUAAUAGGAAGAAAAGGUCUGAAGGAG
Molecule: long non-coding RNA, 6195 nt
Filed under: Heterocephalus glaber (naked mole-rat)
Lineage: Eukaryota; Metazoa; Chordata; Mammalia; Rodentia; Bathyergidae
Description: lncRNA (ENSHGLG00000038290.1)
Source: RNAcentral